GCGUAGCAAUACGUCAGCGGCAGACGGGUGAGUAACGCGUGGGAACGUACCUUUUGGUUCGGAACAACACAGGGAAACUUGUGCUAAUACCGGAUAAGCCCUUACGGGGAAAGAUUUAUCGCCGAAAGAUCGGCCCGCGUCUGAUUAGCUAGUUGGUGAGGUAAUGGCUCACCAAGGCGACGAUCAGUAGCUGGUCUGAGAGGAUGAUCAGCCACAUUGGGACUGAGACACGGCCCAAACUCCUACGGGAGGCAGCAGUGGGGAAUAUUGGACAAUGGGCGCAAGCCUGAUCCAGCCAUGCCGCGUGAGUGAUGAAGGCCCUAGGGUUGUAAAGCUCUUUUGUGCGGGAAGAUAAUGACGGUACCGCAAGAAUAAGCCCCGGCUAACUUCGUGCCAGCAGCCGCGGUAAUACGAAGGGGGCUAGCGUUGCUCGGAAUCACUGGGCGUAAAGGGUGCGUAGGCGGGUCUUUAAGUCAGGGGUGAAAUCCUGGAGCUCAACUCCAGAACUGCCUUUGAUACUGAAGAUCUUGAGUUCGGGAGAGGUGAGUGGAACUGCGAGUGUAGAGGUGAAAUUCGUAGAUAUUCGCAAGAACACCAGUGGCGAAGGCGGCUCACUGGCCCGAUACUGACGCUGAGC
Molecule: ribosomal RNA, 637 nt
Filed under: Bradyrhizobium sp.
Lineage: Bacteria; Pseudomonadati; Pseudomonadota; Alphaproteobacteria; Hyphomicrobiales; Nitrobacteraceae
Description: bacterial SSU rRNA
Rfam family: Bacterial small subunit ribosomal RNA
Source: RNAcentral